RNAcentral lists this ribosomal RNA (493 nucleotides) under uncultured bacterium. RNAcentral describes it as "partial 16S ribosomal RNA". It matches the Rfam family "Bacterial small subunit ribosomal RNA", at positions 29 to 523 of the family's 1533-position model. The record is from RNAcentral.
AUUGAACGCUGGCGGCAUGCUUUACACAUGCAAGUCGAACGGUAACAGGUUAAGCUGACGAGUGGCGAACGGGUGAGUAAUGCAUCGGAACGUGCCCGGUCGUGGGGGAUAACGCAGCGAAAGCUGCGCUAAUACCGCAUACGAUCUGAGGAGGAAAGCGGGGGACCGUAAGGCCUCGCGCGAUCGGAGCGGCCGAUGUCAGAUUAGGUAGUUGGUGGGGUAAAGGCUCACCAAGCCAACGAUCUGUAGCUGGUCUGAGAGGACGACCAGCCACACUGGGACUGAGACACGGCCCAGACUCCUACGGGAGGCAGCAGUGGGGAAUUUUGGACAAUGGGCGAAAGCCUGAUCCAGCAAUGCCGCGUGCAGGAAGAAGGCCUUCGGGUUGUAAACUGCUUUUGUACGGAGCGAAAAGGUCUCCUCUAAUACAGGGGGCUCAUGACGGUACCGUAAGAAUAAGCACCGGCUAACUACGCGCCAGCCGCCGCGGUAA